AAAAAGGGCCGACCUCUCGUGAAGAGAACGAUGGAAUUUAUAGAUUCGGCUGGGAAACUUGUCGAGAAAGCUUUUUUGCUUUUUUAGAUAAACUGACACGAGAGUUUGGUACCUUCUCAAACAGGCAUAAUUUCAAUCUAAUUAAUUGUAUCUGAGAUUUUUUUUACCAGAUUUUUUUACUAACAGGGUUUGUACAACUUCAAUCUGGAUAAAAGUAGAUUGAAUUCUAAUAGAUUGAACUCCUUCUAUAUUUACUGCAGGAGCCCUCACUUUUGCCGUAGCAAAACUGUUGGCAACUGGUCUUGUAAAUCUGAACAGGGUAGAAGUUCUUUAGCAUCCUGUAACAAAUCACCUGCUGGAAGUCAUCAUCCACACCCAUACUGCCCUCUUCGCUUUAUUGUUUUCGAUGAGUGACAAAACAGAGAAAAAAGAAUGCUGCGUGAAUGGAUUCUGUCACUGUCCAUGGUAUAGGCUGUUGUAUUCUCGUAAUAUAAUUGAGGUGUUAAUCGAACUGACCCCAUGGGAAUCUUUCAACCCCUAAUGGAUUCUUAAAAGGUUCGUCGUUUGCUCGUAAGCCAGUUUGAAUGGCAGGUGAAGGCCAGUGUCAAAAAAAAAUAAUCGACUAACUUUUCGUUUUUAUGGCAUAGCAGUCUUGGUCCUGGUCUUGGUCUUGGUUGGUUUUUUUAUCAGAUAACGGAAAUCCUCAGAUUAAUUAUUUAUUACCUCCAUUGGCUGCUGCCAUCGAGGAUGCGUUCGUCAGAUUGGCUGGUGAUGGUGAUAUCAGCGUAUUUGUUAUCCUUGUUGUAGCUGGGAGUAGAGUAAGCUGGUGCAGGUUAGCUAGUAGUAGGGUACUUUGGUGCAGGGAAGUUUGGGGUAGUAGUGAUAUAUCAAAUCUAUAAAUAUCUAUAAAUAUCUCAACCCCUGUAUAUGCUGUACAUGCAAAGUAACAUGUGCAAAUUCGAGCGCGUGUCCGUCCUGGUGUCGAAGACGUUUCAUCAUUUUUAUGUAUAGCUCGGGACAAAGAUCGGCAUUAACUCACGAUUUCUUCAUGUUGAUUUAUUCAUAUCAGCUCCUCGCGUAUUUCAUUCUUUUUUCAUAUUUGAAUUGGUUAAACAUAGCGGUAAUCUCCUCCUAUAAACCACUUUAAACGUUUAGCAUUAAUUGAUGUUUUAAAGUUGAUUUUUUUGGGCGUUAUUGGCUAACAUCGUUUUCUUUUGUUGUUGUGGCUCUCCCGCAUCUAUUCGGCCGAUCCAAACUAAUACACAACGCCAGUUUUAUUUCGAAAGUGA
This is a long non-coding RNA of Daphnia magna, 1289 nucleotides long. RefSeq lists it as uncharacterized. The transcript has 2 exons. Lineage: Eukaryota; Metazoa; Arthropoda; Branchiopoda; Diplostraca; Daphniidae. The record is from RefSeq and is a predicted model, not a curated record.